This 71-nucleotide transfer RNA is filed under the name Deltaproteobacteria bacterium. Its description in RNAcentral is "tRNA-Asp". It matches the Rfam family "tRNA". From Rfam's summary of the family: Transfer RNA (tRNA) molecules are approximately 80 nucleotides in length. Their secondary structure includes four short double-helical elements and three loops (D, anti-codon, and T loops). The record is from RNAcentral. Lineage: Bacteria; Pseudomonadati; Myxococcota; Myxococcia.
GCCUCGUGAAGCUGCUGGGUGGCUGGCCGAUUGUCGAUCGGCUGGGACGGGUUCGAUUCCCGUACGGGGCG